This 253-nucleotide ribosomal RNA is filed under the name uncultured bacterium. Its description in RNAcentral is "partial 16S ribosomal RNA". It matches the Rfam family "Bacterial small subunit ribosomal RNA", at positions 524 to 776 of the family's 1533-position model. The record is from RNAcentral.
UACGGAGGGUGCAAGCGUUAUCCGGAUUCACUGGGUUUAAAGGGAGCGCAGGCGGAUUGGUAAGUCAGUGGUGAAAGCCUUACGCUUAACUUGGGAACUGCCAUUGAUACUAUCAGUCUUGAAUAUUGUUGAGGUUUGCGGAAUGGGUCAUGUAGCGGUGAAAUGCAGAGAUAGGACGCGGAACACCGAUUGCGAAGGCAGCAGGCUAAACAAAGAUUGACGCUGAGGCUCGAAAGCGUGGGGAGCAAACAGG